RNAcentral lists this ribosomal RNA (465 nucleotides) under uncultured bacterium. Its description in RNAcentral is "partial 16S ribosomal RNA". It matches the Rfam family "Bacterial small subunit ribosomal RNA", at positions 339 to 795 of the family's 1533-position model. The record is from RNAcentral.
CUACGGGUGGCACCAGUGGGGAAUAUUGCACAAUGGGCGCAAGCCUGAUGCAGCCAUGCCGCGUGUAUGAAGAAGGCCUUCGGGUUGUAAAGUACUUUCAGCGGGGAGGAAGGGAGUAAAGUUAAUACCUUUGCUCAUUGACGUUACCCGCAGAAGAAGCACCGGCUAACUCCGUGCCAGCAGCCGCGGUAAUACGGAGGGGUGCAAGCGUUAAUCGGAAUUACUGGGCGUAAAGCGCACGCAGGCGGUUUGUUAAGUCAGAUGUGAAAUCCCCGGGCUCAACCUGGGAACUGCAUCUGAUACUGGCAAGCUUGAGUCUCGUAGAGGGGGGUAGAAUUCCAGGUGUAGCGGUGAAAUGCGUAGAGAUCUGGAGGAAUACCGGUGGCGAAGGCGGCCCCCUGGACGAAGACUGACGCUCAGGUGCGAAAGCGUGGGGAGCAAACAGGAUUAGAUACCCCAGUAGUC